GACGAACGCUGGCGGCGUGCCUAAUACAUGCAAGUAGAACGCUGAAGGCGGAGCUUGCUUCUCUGGAUGAGUUGCGAACGGGUGAGUAACGCGUAGGUAACCUGCCUGGUAGCGGGGGAUAACUAUUGGAAACGAUAGCUAAUACCGCAUAAGAGUAGAUGUUGCAUGACAUUUGCUUAAAAGUUGCAAUUGCAUCACUACCAGAUGGACCUGCGUUGUAUUAGCUAGUUGGUGGGGUAACGGCUCACCAAGGCGACGAUACAUAGCCGACCUGCGAGGGGGAUCGGCCGCCCUGGGACGGAGACACGGCCCAGACUCCUACGGGAGGCAGCAGUAGGGAAUCGUCGGCAAGGGGCGGAAGUCUGACCGAGCAACGCCGCGUGAGGGAAGAAGGUUUUCGGAUCGGAAAGCUCUGUUGUAAGAGAAGAACGAGUGUGAGAGUGGAAAGUUCACACUGUGACGGUAUCGUACCAGAAAGGGACGGCUAACUACGUG
RNAcentral lists this ribosomal RNA (495 nucleotides) under uncultured bacterium. RNAcentral describes it as "partial 16S ribosomal RNA". It matches the Rfam family "Bacterial small subunit ribosomal RNA", at positions 28 to 507 of the family's 1533-position model. The record is from RNAcentral.